AUUCACUUUCACCAGCCCGGCGGAAUGGCCGACUUGGAUUGCAACGAGGACAGUCAGAACGACUUCAGCCAUCACUGCCAAGCCAUCAGAACUUCAAGGCAAGAGAUGCCGCAAACACGUCACAACAGGCAAACAACCACAAUCGCCGGCAUACUUCAAGUCCUCCGACCCCCUUGAAGUUGGGGGAGGACGUGUGGGUUAAGGACGUCAAUUGCCGAGGCAGUAUCCUCAGCCCCGCUCAGUGACCAGAGUCAUAUGUGGUGGAAACGCCCAGGGGAACUCUGCAGUGAAACCGUCAGAAUUUAAUCCCCUUCUCAAAAGGCCAGUCAACAGAGGAAUUGCCAGCCAGUGAACAAAAUCAAGGACCAAGUUUACAGCAGUCUACGCCCGGUGAGGGUCAACCAGCAUCAUCGCCAGAGCCUCAGCAAGAAGGGCUUCGGCUGAGUCGCACACUUUGCGGUCGUGUGAUUGGACCGCCAAGGCGACUGACUUAUAGAUCUUAAGGGGAGAUGUAGUGGGCACUACUAAGGUGAUGGUGUUUAUCUUAUUGCUCGCCAGAGGACACCAUCAUUUAUAGAGCGCUUAUAUAAGGAGCGGCGCGUGGAAAUAAAAAGGGCUUUCUUUUUUUGGUUGUGGUCACG
Molecule: long non-coding RNA, 641 nt
Organism: Ixodes scapularis (black-legged tick)
Lineage: Eukaryota; Metazoa; Arthropoda; Arachnida; Ixodida; Ixodidae
Exons: 2
Source: RefSeq, a predicted model, not a curated record